Molecule: ribosomal RNA, 253 nt
Filed under: uncultured bacterium
Lineage: Bacteria
Description: partial 16S ribosomal RNA
Rfam family: Bacterial small subunit ribosomal RNA
Source: RNAcentral
UACGUAGGGGGCAAGCGUUGUCCGGAUUUAUUGGGCGUAAAGAGCGUGUAGGCGGCCAUACAGGUCAGCUGUGAAAACUCGAGGCUCAACCUCGAGACGUCGGUUGAAACCGUAUGGCUAGAGUCCGGAAGAGGAGAGUGGAAUUCCCGGUGUAGCGGUGAAAUGCGCAGAUAUCGGGAGGAACACCAAUGGCGAAGGCAGCUCGCUGGGACGGUACUGACGCUGAGACGCGAAAGCGUGGGGAGCAAACAGG